CACCAUAGUGAGUAAUGAGGAACAGGUUAACUCUCUUACUUUGUCAGAAGGAAAAACAUGUUGAUAUAAUCUUCUAAUCCCCAAUUCUCUUCUGUUAAAUUGUCUUAAUAUGGACCCCCCCCCCAAAUUCCCAAUCCUUCCAUAUUAUUAAAACACAUCAUAGGAAACUAGAUGAAAAGUUCUACUCUUUUUGUCCCAAGCUUGAACAGAAACUGCACUCUUAAGUAUUUGUACUAAGUUUUAGGCCAGUAUAACAUGGAGAGAGAUUGGCUAGAUAGCAGUUCCUGUAAAAGUGAUCUGAAGAUGAUGUCACUAGGAUGUGUCAGUCCAAAAAAGCUAAAGUGUUUAGGCUACAAUAAGAAAGGUAUAGUAACAUAAUGGGAGAGGUGAUAGGUUAACUAUAAUCUGUUGGUCAUCAGACAAUUUCACAUAAUAUUGUUUUUGGUUACAGGCUCCAGAUAUUAGAAAUGACUUGAAUCUCCAAGGGACUGAAGUUAAAAAAAAGGUAUCCACUGCCUUAGAAGGAACUGAUGGAAUCCAAAUGCAGAAUGAAGUAUACUUUUUUUUCAUUUUACUUCCUCCAUGAAUUUUUUUGGAAGGGCCAUUCCAAACAGGAUAUGCUACUGAAUUGGAAGAGAUGACCAUUCAAAAUAAACAAGGAUGAAGAAUAAAAUCUGUGGUGUGGUCUUCAAGGACCUAUCCCCCCAACCCUGCCAGUCUUCUGAUACCUUACAUUUCUCAGAUACCUAGCCCCUCAAGAAUCAGAGGACAUCUAUAGAUGACAAGGAAAAGAACGUUACUCUCAUCAGAAUUGGUUCAAAGAGGAAAUAAUGUACACAUUCAAACUUUUUCACACUAAAGACAGCAACAAAGUUUCACUUUUGCAAAAGAAAUUUAAUUUGCAUUCACUGAGAGGACUUAUGAAUCAUAAUGCUCUUUACAGAGUGGAAGACACACAAUCUGAUGUGUAGAAAGAAGUCAAGACCUGAGGAAUGAAGAUGUAUUCACUGCUUAGAUUGAUGGUUUUGUGUGUGAGAAAGUCUGCAUAUUGACUUACUUUGAUUUAGAAAAGAAUUAUUUCUAUAUAAUCUAAUAAUCAAAAAACUGAGAAUAUGGCAAAAGUAAAAGUAGUCCAAAUGUCAAAUGUACUGACAUUUCAUUAGGACUGCAAAUUACUACAGAUGGCCUUUCUCCUUUUUUAACCUUUGUCCAGUUAAUUAGCUCAUAAAUAAUCUCUUUUGGGGGAUACCAAGGGAAACAACACUGUAGCCUUAAUCCUAACGGAAGGGUUAGCAUAUUUACACAGAUGUAGCCAGUGAGCUUUAAGUCUACUGAUGGAUUUUGCUCUAGAUUUGGAACUGACCUGAAAGAAGAGAGCAGAAACCAGCUGGUGAAAAAUAAACUAUCAACUACAUUGUACA
Molecule: long non-coding RNA, 1421 nt
Filed under: Monodelphis domestica (gray short-tailed opossum)
Lineage: Eukaryota; Metazoa; Chordata; Mammalia; Didelphimorphia; Didelphidae
Description: lncRNA (ENSMODG00000043344.1)
Source: RNAcentral